RNAcentral lists this ribosomal RNA (449 nucleotides) under uncultured bacterium. RNAcentral's name for it is "partial 16S ribosomal RNA". It matches the Rfam family "Bacterial small subunit ribosomal RNA", at positions 29 to 523 of the family's 1533-position model. The record is from RNAcentral.
AACGAACGCUGGCGGCAUGCCUAACACAUGCAAGUCGAACGAAGGCUUCGGCCUUAGUGGCGCACGGGUGAGUAACGCGUAGGAAACUGCCUAUUGGUGGGGAAUAACGACGGGAAACUGUCGCUAAUACCGCAUAAGCCCUUCGGGGGAAAGAUUUAUCGCCGAUAGAUGUGCCCGCGUCCGAUUAGCUAGUUGGUGGGGUAAUGGCUCACCAAGGCGACGAUCGGUAGCUGGUCUGAGAGGAUGAUCAGCCACACUGGGACUGAGACACGGCCCAGACUCCUACGGGAGGCAGCAGUGGGGAAUAUUGGACAAUGGGCGAAAGCCUGAUCCAGCAAUGCCGCGUGAGUGAUGAAGGCCUUAGGGUUGUAAAGCUCUAUCGGGUGGGACGAUGAUGACGGUACCACCAGAAGAAGCCCCGGCUAACUUCGUGCCAGCAGCCGCCGUAA